GCCAGAGAAGAGUGUAAGCAGGAGAGUGAGUGAGUGAGUGAGUGAGUUAGUGAGAAUGGCUCCCAAGUCUCUGAUCCUUUUGGCUGUGUUAUCCUUUUCAGCAGUGUCACUGAGUCCUUCUCUUGCUGAAGAUAAUGGCCUUGUGAUGAACUUCUACAAGGAAACUUGUCCUCAGGCUGAAGACAUCAUCAAAGAACAAGUCAAGCUUCUCUACAAGCGCCACAAGAACACUGCUUUCUCUUGGCUCCGAAACAUCUUCCAUGACUGUGCUGUUCAGGUCAUUCAUUAAUCUUGCCUUUUCUUUUUUCUUUUUUCUUUGCGAGUUUCAUCUUCUUAAGCUUUUUACGCCUUUUUCUUUUUUGUUAGAGCUGUGAUGCUUCACUGUUGCUGGACUCCACAAGAAGGACCUUGUCUGAGAAGGAGACAGACAGAAGCUUCGGUUUGAGGAAUUUCAGGUACAUUGAGACCAUCAAAGAAGCUGUGGAAAGGGAGUGCCCGGGAGUUGUUUCCUGUGCUGAUAUACUCGUUCUCUCUGCCAGAGAUGGCAUUGUUUCGGUAAUCAACACCUUCUCCUUUCUUUUUCUUUUCUUCCAUUUCUCAUCUUUUGAGAGAUAAAUAUGCUAUCCCAAAUCUGUCAACUCAUUCUACCAUAUCACUCUAUUUUUACUGUGAAGGAAGUAGAAUUUGGCAAUUGCUUUCGAUGUUCUGCAAGAAAUUAUUCUUCUAGUUAAUUUUUUUUAUUGUGUUGCAGCUAGGAGGCCCCCAUAUCCCUCUUAAAACUGGAAGAAGGGAUGGUAGAAGGAGCAGAGCUGAUGUGGUUGAACAGUUCCUCCCAGACCACAAUGAGUCCAUUUCUUCAGUUCUUGACAAGUUUGGUGCCAUGGGAAUUGACACUCCCGGGGUGGUUGCUUUGCUUGGUAUACACUACUCUACAUCCUUCCAUAAUCCAUCAUCUAAUGUACAUACACAAUAAAUUAUUAUGCAAAUCAUUCAUAAGAAAUAUUUAGCAAAAUUUGGACUUUUUGACCUUAGUGGUCCCUGUAUAUGUAAUAAUUUCCCUUCAUAAUGCAUAUAUAAAUGUAAGUGGGCUCUGUAUGAUGAAUCAGAGAUAAAGAUGUACGAAAGACAUGAAAUUCUAAAGAAAUUACAUGCUUGCUGAUUUAAGUUAUAAUGAUUGAGAUAUUUUGUUGAACAGGAGCACACAGUGUUGGUAGAACACACUGUGUGAAGUUGGUGCACCGUUUGUACCCGGAGAUUGAUUCUGCACUGAACCCUGAGCAUGUCCCUCACAUGCUGAAGAAGUGCCCUGAUGCCAUUCCAGAUCCCAAGGCCGUGCAGUAUGUGAGAAACGACCGUGGCACCCCCAUGAUUCUAGACAACAACUACUACAGAAACAUAUUGGACAACAAGGGGUUGCUGAUAGUGGAUCACCAACUAGCCAAUGACAAGAGGACCAAGCCUUAUGUGAAGAAAAUGGCCAAGAGCCAAGACUAUUUCUUCAAGGAGUUUUCUAGAGCCAUCACCUUGCUCUCUGAAAACAAUCCUCUCACUGGCACUAAGGGAGAGAUCAGAAAGCAGUGCAAUGUUGCCAACAAGCACCGUGAGGAGCCUUGAAAGUUCUUCCGGAAGAAAUCUGUAAAAUAUUAUUAUGCUGUGUUUUAUUUUAAAUGAGUAGGUUGCCUUGUCGGCAGGUUCAUGGGGAUGUCACUGUUGUUAUUUUUAUUUCAAUAAGGAUGUUAUAUUUAGUAGUCUAGUAGAAGUUGGGUAGAAGGAUAUGUUCACUGUGUUAAUUAUGAUAUCAAUGUAUGCACGUGAUUGCUGUCAUCGAUGGCAGUGACAACCAUGUUUAUGGUAUCCGCACUCAGAAGUUUGUUCUUUCUUUCAACAUAAUCAUGGUUUUUACAUUGCUAUCUAUCCUAUUCAAAUAGGCCCCAUGAUAGAGACUAGAUGAAGCAAAAUUUAGGAAUCUAUCAAGUAACAAAUGCAUAGUCUUUUAUUUUGAAUGUAGCUUGGCAAACACAUUAAGCCAAGCAUA
This 2035-nucleotide long non-coding RNA is filed under the name Vigna radiata. RNAcentral describes it as "long non-coding RNA (VRAD_LNC007560)". The record is from RNAcentral. Lineage: Eukaryota; Viridiplantae; Streptophyta; Magnoliopsida; Fabales; Fabaceae.